GAUGAAGAACGUAGCGAAUUGCGAUAUGUUAAUGUGAAACGCAGAACAGUGAAUCAUCGAAACUUUGAACGCACCUUGCGCCCUUUGGCCAUUCCGAAGGGCAUGCCUGUUUGAGUAUCAUGAACACCUCAACUCUUUAUGGUUUUCCAUGAUGAGCUUGGACUCUGGGGGUUUUGCUGGCUCACAGUCGGCUCCUCUAAAAUGAAUCAGCUUACCAGUGUUUGGUGGGUAUCAUGGGUGUGAUAACUAUCUACGCUUGUGGUUUUUCCACCAGGUAACCUUCAGCAGUGGAGGUUCGCUGGAGCUCAUAGAUGUCUCUCCUCAGUGAGGACAGCCCUUUGAAUGUUUGAUCUCAAAUCAGGUAGGACUACCCGCUGAACUUAAGCAUAUCAAUAAGCGGAGGA
Molecule: unclassified non-coding RNA, 404 nt
Filed under: soil metagenome
Description: partial contains 5.8S ribosomal RNA, internal transcribed spacer 2, and large subunit ribosomal RNA
Rfam family: 5.8S ribosomal RNA (bases 1-120)
Source: RNAcentral